Molecule: long non-coding RNA, 597 nt
Organism: Danio aesculapii
Lineage: Eukaryota; Metazoa; Chordata; Actinopteri; Cypriniformes; Danionidae
Exons: 4
Source: RefSeq, a predicted model, not a curated record
GCUACUUUUCCCAAGAAGUACGGAAUCCGAGAAAUAUAUUACUAUUGGUUAUUAUUCGCCUCUAGAGGGCGCUGAAUGGACCGCAACGUGAGAGAGUUACCCUGGACAAGAGCAGAGCAGAAGCUUGCUACAUCAUCUUUUACCAGAAGAGGAUUCAUUAUCCAUUUCAAGGUUGUUCUGGAAAGAGCGAGCUUUGGACCUCCUUGAUAAUCUUGUUGAGAGGUACCCCUGGAGAUGACCACUUCCAGUUAUCUUUUCUCCAUUGCUAAACUGGACAGCCUUGGAGAUCCAGCUUUGGAGAUGGUGCUUUAACAAGUCAGCCAGCUAUCCUUUCUCCACUGCCAUACAGAUUGUGCAGCAAGAUGGUUCGGCCCUCAUACCAGGAGGCAAAACAAGAAUUUGUUUAUUUGCGACUUCUAGGUGCAUUAUUUAUGACAACAAACUUUGGACAUUAUUUAAGUUGUGUGUAUACUUGUAUUUCGGUCAGUACUUAGAGGAGGAGGAGCAACAGAGACAGAACCCUCUUGUCCUGCUGCUUGGGGAUGAACUAAACUGCUCUCAGUCGUUUGUUAUUGUGAAUGAAGUGGCACUAAAUUC